UCUCCCGUCGUGUUCUACGCGUCGAUGCCCCGCCCAUUCUCGCUCCCUCGCGAAACACACCUGUGAACAAGCUCGUCGCCUGAAACACGUGGGAUGAACCAAUCAUAUCAUGACGUGAUGUUCGACUCGAGGAACCGCCGCGGACUCACCUGACCCAGAUUCACAUCCCUCCUGAUUCGGGGACCAUGUCUGAGUGAAUCACGGCGGAGCGGUUACAGAAUCUUCCACAGUCGCUGAUCGGCUCGUAAAAAAAGCCGCCUGAGGAAAUAAGGUGCUGAACCAUUUAUGGGAGGGGAAGAGUUGUCUGACCUUCGGCCUUCAGUGGGAGCUGCAUGAUGUCAUGAGUGUCCUUCUCGUUCACAACCAUCGACUGUACGUUGAAGAUGGACGACGCAUCUCCUCCGCCUCGUGCGAGCCAAGUCCCGCAGAUGUUAGCCCUCGACCAAUCGCGAGUCAGUCUCCGCUGUCAAUCGCGGGUGGUUUAUGUUAUCUACUGCCGCCAGCCACCAGGGGGCGAUCCAGACGAUUCGGCUUCACUGUCCCGGGCUGUGUUGAGUUCCAUCUUUGAGGUUCGUCUGCGACCGAGAACCAGGUGUUGGACGACGGUGAGAGGAAACAUCAUCCCACCCGGGUUCGUAUGGUUUUUUUACCAACGUGGAGACAAAAGGCUUUGAUGUAGGGAAAGUGAAAGGUGAGUGAGUGUUAUCCUCUAACUACCUCCCAAAGUGACAGCGCGUUGCCUUCAAAGAGCGUAGGACAGACGAACGUGCAGAAAGAGGCUUCGAAGACGGACGAAUCAGGUGAAGGCUUGUUUGGUCCUGAGGCCUUAUUAUGGUGCGUAGUUCAGUAAUUGUUCAGUAAUUGAAACAAUUUGGUAAUCAUCCUUUUGUACAAAUGAAGAGGACCAGGAACAUGAAAGUAAUACAGACGUCGUCGUCGUCGUCCUCUUCCUCCUGUUUGAAGCCUGAAGAGACGUUUCUAAAAAAAUCUGUCUGGACUGAACGCACUUUUCUUCUUGUCACACAUUUUCACAUCUACGUGUCUUAUCAAAGAUCUCCGACCUCAAUCGUGAAUUUGUCCUCGUGGGACCAAACAUGAUUGUUGUUCCAAAAGAGAGAAGCGCUUUCCCAUUUCCACCCCCUAACAAAACCACUGGAAAAACACAAAUUGGUUCUCAGAAAAGAACUUCUCGUCGGUUUCUUAGACGGAGCUCAGGAUCAUUUGAUUUUGCUCGUCGUAGAAAAAUGUUACACGGCCCCGGGGGUUGGAUUUAGAAACUGUUGGAGUGGGAAGGUUUUGAUUCUUCACAGUAACAACUCUACAUUUUUAAUAGAUAAACAGAAUAAAUGUCAAACAGACAGACUUGUAAAAGAGAAUGACUUG
Scophthalmus maximus (turbot) is the source of this 1383-nucleotide long non-coding RNA. RefSeq lists it as uncharacterized. The record is from RefSeq and is a predicted model, not a curated record. The transcript is spliced from 5 exons. NCBI's taxonomy places the organism in Eukaryota, Metazoa, Chordata, Actinopteri, Pleuronectiformes, Scophthalmidae.